UUUUCUUCUCCCUCUUUUGUUCUAAUUAAGAAAUGCUCUCAUGCAUGUAUGUUCUUUGAGUGCUUUUAUCGUAUGGCUGGUUUUGACAGGAAUUUUUUUUAUAAUGAUCUAGCCUCUCACUACCUUUCAUCCAGAAAAUGGGUAAACAUUGCUCGAGCUUUUGUUCAAGGUAAAGUUUUAUCCAGAAAAUGGGUAAACAUUGCUCAGGCUUUUGCUCGAGGGAAAUUUUUAUCCAAAAAAUGGAUAAAAAUCCUCUCACUUCCUUUCUUGAGGCGUUUUACUUCAAGGUUUGCUUCCAGUACUGUUGAUGUUUUUUCAUAGAUUUAAUGUAUUUUUAGUUAUUUUUAUUACUCCUUAAUUUCAUUUGUUGAUUUUUUUGUUAAUUAGUUGAAGUGUUAACUCUAUUGGCUUUGACUCGAUCACUUUGUCCAAAAGGUAAGAUUGUUUAAUAAAUAAUAAUGAAUUGUUUAAUUAUGGAGUUUUGAGUAUUUUAAUUUACGAAUAUCAUAGAAUUCUUACUGAAAAUAUUAAAAUUGCUUGUUAUUAGUAUUACAAUGAUCAGACUGUCAUGUGUAUUGAACAUGUAAUGCAGUACAUCUUUUUGGAUUCUAUAUAUGCUGCUGGAUCGAAAUUCAAUUCCGAUUGUUGAUUCCGUCAGACUGUUACGGAUUUUGUUCAUGCGGUAGCGGUUGAUGCCGCAAUACCUAAAGAUGCAAGAAGCUGCUUGGUGCAUUGAAAUGAGCUUAGUGGAAAUUUUGUGUAUUUACUAAUCUAAAGGGAAGGCUUUUAUUAAUUAUCAGUUGGCAUGGCUUGGCUCAAAUCGUUAUAAUUCCUUUAUUAAUUAUCAGUUGACCAAUCCUUUUUAACUGGGUUGCUUAUUACCAAUCUCCGACACAUGUCACAAAGGACCAAAGCGGCUGGCCGACCUCGUGGUUUCCUACAUACCUUUCUCCACUGCACUGCAAUGGCAUCUACACGAUGCCCACGAUACCCCUAAGGGUCAAAUCCCCUUUUUUUUGCGAAGAUAA
This 1028-nucleotide long non-coding RNA is filed under the name Aquilegia coerulea. Its description in RNAcentral is "long non-coding RNA (ACOE_LNC001517)". The record is from RNAcentral. Lineage: Eukaryota; Viridiplantae; Streptophyta; Magnoliopsida; Ranunculales; Ranunculaceae.